CCUACGGGGGGCUGCAGUGGGGAAUAUCGCACAAUGGGCGCAAGCCUGAUGCAGCCAUGCCGCGUGUGUGAAGAAGGCCUUCGGGUUGUAAAGCACUUUCAGCGGGGAGGAAGGCGUUAAGGUUAAUAACCUUGGCGAUUGACGUUACCCGCAGAAGAAGCACCGGCUAACUCCGUGCCAGCAGCCGCGGUAAUACGGAGGGUGCAAGCGUUAAUCGGAAUUACUGGGCGUAAAGCGCACGCAGGCGGUCUGUCAAGUCGGAUGUGAAAUCCCCGGGCUCAACCUGGGAACUGCAUUCGAAACUGGCAGGCUAGAGUCUUGUAGAGGGGGGUAGAAUUCCAGGUGUAGCGGUGAAAUGCGUAGAGAUCUGGAGGAAUACCGGUGGCGAAGGCGGCCCCCUGGACAAAGACUGACGCUCAGGUGCGAAAGCGUGGGGAGCAAACAGGAUUAGAUACCCGAGUAGUC
RNAcentral lists this ribosomal RNA (465 nucleotides) under uncultured Klebsiella sp. Its description in RNAcentral is "bacterial SSU rRNA". It matches the Rfam family "Bacterial small subunit ribosomal RNA", at positions 338 to 795 of the family's 1533-position model. The record is from RNAcentral. Lineage: Bacteria; Pseudomonadati; Pseudomonadota; Gammaproteobacteria; Enterobacterales; Enterobacteriaceae.